GAUGUCAAAAACAAUAAUUCCGGCGAAUUCAUUUAAUGAAAAUAUUUUGUAAACUUUUCAUAUUUUAUAAAAAAUACACAUAAAAAUAUUAAAAUUUGUGAAGAUAGUGGAAGAACGUCUGUUCCAAAUGAAAAAUUCUAAUCCGUCAGAUUAAUUUUGCAAAACUUAAGUUUGUGUCCAAAAUUAUGUAAAAUUAAUAUUUUUGGGAAAAUAAGCAUAAAAAUGUAAAAAUUUAUGGAAAAAUUAUGUACCGAAUGAAAGAAUCUUUAUUGUUAGUGGAAAAUUCUACUCUGACGGAGUAACUUUUAAGAUGAGAUAUUUUACAUAAAUUAUUCAACAACUAAAGAAGCUUUUCUCUGAUUUAACGGAAAUUUUUAAAUUAAAAAUGUAAACAAUAACAAUACGUUUAUCUUGGAAACUAUUACAGAUAGAAUCUUCAAAUUUUGCACGAAAGAAGUUGCAAUUAUACUUUAAAUUGAAUUUGGAGGACAUAAUGUACUAAGUAAGAAAUGCGAAAUACAGCCUACUUCGUUUUUUUAUAUAAGUACCGCGAGUUUUUUACAUAAAAAGUUCCAAUAGAAAUAUUAAGUUCCAAUAGUAAUAUUAACGGAAGGACGGACGAGUUUGAAUCGACCCAAAAAGCGAUUUUAAGUUCAUGGAUGCACCAAAAGGAGAGAGAGGAUCCAUUAUUCACGAUGUUAGAUUGGCUAGUGUAAAUAAAAUAAUAUUACGGUGUUGUUAUGAUCUAAAUCAACUCAUUUAAUAUGUGGAAAAUGACCAACAAGAAGAAAACAAACAGGGGGAUUUUUUGCAAACUUUUUUCAGAGUUGCAUAAAAAGGUACUUUUUUGUGUAUACACUUGGAAAAGUACAUAAAAAAUUUAAAUAAAGCAAAAAAUACGUAAAAAACGUAAACAAAGAGAACACAACCAAUAACAAACUAAUUGAUUUAUUUCUAAAAUGUUGAAUUAUUGAUAUAAAAUGAAAUAUAUUGACUGUGCACCAAAAUAAACUAUACCGAUCGAUAGGGAAUCGGAAAAUGAA
Molecule: long non-coding RNA, 1043 nt
Organism: Lucilia sericata (common green bottle fly)
Lineage: Eukaryota; Metazoa; Arthropoda; Insecta; Diptera; Calliphoridae
Exons: 2
Source: RefSeq, a predicted model, not a curated record